This 240-nucleotide ribosomal RNA is filed under the name Clostridioides difficile. RNAcentral describes it as "partial 16S ribosomal RNA". It matches the Rfam family "Bacterial small subunit ribosomal RNA", at positions 197 to 439 of the family's 1533-position model. The record is from RNAcentral. Lineage: Bacteria; Bacillati; Bacillota; Clostridia; Peptostreptococcales; Peptostreptococcaceae.
AAUAUCAAAGGUGAGCCAGUACAGGAUGGACCCGCGUCUGAUUAGCUAGUUGGUAAGGUAACGGCUUACCAAGGCGACGAUCAGUAGCCGACCUGAGAGGGUGAUCGGCCACAUUGGAACUGGGACACGGUCCAAACUCCUACGGGAGGCAGCAGUGGGGAAUAUUGCACAAUGGGCGAAAGCCUGAUGCAGCAACGCCGCGUGAGUGAUGAAGGCCUUCGGGUCGUAAAACUCUGUCCU